RNAcentral lists this unclassified non-coding RNA (146 nucleotides) under uncultured Cadophora. Its description in RNAcentral is "sequence contains ITS2". The record is from RNAcentral. Lineage: Eukaryota; Fungi; Ascomycota; Leotiomycetes; Helotiales.
UAACCACUCAAGCUCUCGCUUGGUAUUGGGGUUCGCGGUUCCGCGGCCCCUAAAAUCAGUGGCGGUGCCUGUCGGCUCUACGCGUAGUAAUACUCCUCGCGAUUGAGUCCGGCAGGUCUACUUGCCAGCAACCCCCAAUUUUUACA